RNAcentral lists this unclassified non-coding RNA (200 nucleotides) under Malbranchea sp. RNAcentral describes it as "partial internal transcribed spacer 2". The record is from RNAcentral. Lineage: Eukaryota; Fungi; Ascomycota; Eurotiomycetes; Onygenales; Malbrancheaceae.
UUAAGUUCAGCGGGCCUUCCUACCUGAUCCGAGGUCAGCCUUGGGUAAAUAAGGCUUUUAACGGCCGGAACCCGCAGCACGCCCAGAGCGAGAUGUAACUACUACGCUCGGUGUGACAGCGAGCCCGCCACUGUUUAAGGGCCUGCGGCAGCCGCAGGGCCCCAACGCAAGCCGGGGGCUUGAUGGUUGAAAUGACGCUC